GUCGAACGGUAACAUUUCUAGCUUGCUAGAAGAUGACGAGUGGCGGACGGGUGAGUAAUGCUUGGGAACUUGCCUUUGCGAGGGGGAUAACAGUUGGAAACGACUGCUAAUACCGCAUAAUGUCUACGGACCAAACGGGGCUUCGGCUCCGGCGCAAAGAGAGGCCCAAGUGAGAUUAGCUAGUUGGUAAGGUAACGGCUUACCAAGGCGACGAUCUCUAGCUGUUCUGAGAGGAAGAUCAGCCACACUGGGACUGAGACACGGCCCAGACUCCUACGGGAGGCAGCAGUGGGGAAUAUUGCACAAUGGGGGAAACCCUGAUGCAGCCAUGCCGCGUGUGUGAAGAAGGCCUUCGGGUUGUAAAGCACUUUCAGUUGUGAGGAAAAGUUAGUAGUUAAUACCUGCUAGCCGUGACGUUAACAACAGAAGAAGCACCGGCUAACUCCGUGCCAGCAGCCGCGGUAAUACGGAGGGUGCGAGCGUUAAUCGGAAUUACUGGGCGUAAAGCGCACGCAGGCGGUUUGUUAAGCUAGAUGUGAAAGCCCCGGGCUCAACCUGGGAUGGUCAUUUAGAACUGGCAGACUAGAGUCUUGGAGAGGGGAGUGGAAUUCCAGGUGUAGCGGUGAAAUGCGUAGAUAUCUGGAGGAACAUCAGUGGCGAAGGCGACUCCCUGGCCAAAGACUGACGCUCAUGUGCGAAAGUGUGGGUAGCGAACAGGAUUAGAUACCCUGGUAGUCCACACCGUAAACGCUGUCUACUAGCUGUGUGUGCCUUU
Molecule: ribosomal RNA, 775 nt
Filed under: uncultured bacterium
Lineage: Bacteria
Description: bacterial SSU rRNA
Rfam family: Bacterial small subunit ribosomal RNA
Source: RNAcentral